This 252-nucleotide ribosomal RNA is filed under the name uncultured bacterium. RNAcentral describes it as "partial 16S ribosomal RNA". It matches the Rfam family "Bacterial small subunit ribosomal RNA", at positions 524 to 775 of the family's 1533-position model. The record is from RNAcentral.
UACGAAGGGUGCAAGCGUUACUCGGAAUUACUGGGCGUAAAGCGUGCGUAGGUGGUUUGUUAAGUCUGUUGUGAAAGCCCCGGGCUCAACCUGGGAAUGGCAAUGGAUACUGGCAGGCUAGAGUGCGGUAGAGGGUAGUGGAAUUCCCGGUGUAGCGGUGAAAUGCGUAGAGAUCGGGAGGAACACCAGUGGCGAAGGCGGCUACCUGGACCAGCACUGACACUGAGGCACGAAAGCGUGGGGAGCAAACAG